UGAUUUGCAGGGUUUGGGGAAGGUUGCCUGUGCCUAAAGCAUCAUUCCGUCCCACUCUGGUGCUGUGCACGGAGCUCGACUAUCCUGAAUCCACCAUGAUUCGACCUCAUGUCAGUCCUUUGGCUGCCAGCCCAGUUCAACUCCAAGCUGAUGACCAGUGUCGACCGCCAGUCAUUCUGAACAUUUGACCAGUUGAGCUUUCAAAUGAUGGCAGUCCUGGCUGACAUUUUGGGUGAACAAUAUGAGAGACUGACUGGUUGAGCCCUUCCCAAAUUUCUGACCCACAACAUUGUGAGAAAAAUAAUCUUAAGCCUCUCAGUUUGGGGACAAUUUGUUACUCAGCAAUAGAAAUGAAAAUAUGAUCUCAGUAGGACCAUGUGA
Molecule: long non-coding RNA, 381 nt
Filed under: Homo sapiens (human)
Lineage: Eukaryota; Metazoa; Chordata; Mammalia; Primates; Hominidae
Description: non-protein coding lnc-PPP1R3D-3:5
Source: RNAcentral